This 64-nucleotide ribosomal RNA is filed under the name Phoma sp. Its description in RNAcentral is "partial 28S ribosomal RNA". Lineage: Eukaryota; Fungi; Ascomycota; Dothideomycetes; Pleosporales; Didymellaceae. The record is from RNAcentral.
ACAUUUUUACACUCUUGACCUCGGAUCAGGUAGGGAUACCCGCUGAACUUAAGCAUAUCAAUAA